RNAcentral lists this long non-coding RNA (200 nucleotides) under Gossypium barbadense (sea-island cotton). RNAcentral describes it as "long non-coding RNA (GBAR_LNC005463)". Lineage: Eukaryota; Viridiplantae; Streptophyta; Magnoliopsida; Malvales; Malvaceae. The record is from RNAcentral.
AGAGACACGGGCGUGUGUCUCGGUCGUGUGGUUGACAUGGCCUUGGACACAGGCGUGCUACACGGCCGUGUGAAAACUACACCUAAAUUUUGAAACUAAAAUUUGCCACACGGCCUAGCACACGGGCGUGUGCUAGGCCGUGUGGCUUCAAUUUCUUUAUGCCUUAAAAGUCAGAGAGUUACACGAGUUAGGGACACGGG